CUGCUCCAUGAAAUUUAAAUAGCUGCAGUAUAAAUAACUGUACAAAGGUAGCAUAAUAAUUUGUUUUUUAAUUAAAAACUAGAAUGAAAGAUUUAAUGAAAUAUAAACUGUUUCUAUUAAAACUAUUAAAAUUAUUAUUUAAGUAAAAAAACUUAAAUAACAUUAAAAGACAAUAAGACCCUAUAGAAUUUUAUUAAAUCUAUUUAAAUAAAAAUUUAAAUAAUUUUAUUUAAAUAUAUUAUAAUUUUGUUGGGGUAACAUACAAAUUUAUUAAACUUUUUUAUUAAAAAACAAUAAUUUUUGAAUAAUUAAACUUAAAAUUUAACUUAAUAAAACUAAUUACCUUAGGGAUAACAGCAUAAUUUUUUUUGAAAGAUCAUAUUUAUAAAAAAGAUUAUGACCUCGAUGUUGAAUUAAGAUAAAAUAAAAAUGAAAAAAAUUUUAAAUUUAAGUCUGUUCGACUUUUAAA
Molecule: ribosomal RNA, 469 nt
Filed under: Syngaster lepidus
Lineage: Eukaryota; Metazoa; Arthropoda; Insecta; Hymenoptera; Braconidae
Description: partial 16S ribosomal RNA
Source: RNAcentral